Molecule: ribosomal RNA, 468 nt
Filed under: uncultured bacterium
Lineage: Bacteria
Description: partial 16S ribosomal RNA
Rfam family: Bacterial small subunit ribosomal RNA
Source: RNAcentral
GACGAACGCUGGCGGCGUGCUUAACACAUGCAAGUCGAACGGAAAGGCCCUGCUUUUGUGGGGUGCUCGAGUGGCGAACGGGUGAGUAACACGUGAGUAACCUGCCCUUGACUUUGGGAUAACUUCAGGAAACUGGGGCUAAUACCGGAUAGGAGCUCCUGCUGCAUGGUGGGGGUUGGAAAGUUUCGGCGGUUGGGGAUGGAAUCGCGGCUUAUCAGCUUGUUGGUGGGGUAGUGGCUUACCAAGGCUUUGACGGGUAGCCGGCCUGAGAGGGUGACCGGCCAAAUUGGGAUUGAGAUACGGCCCAGACUCCUACGGGAGGCAGCAGUGGGGAAUAUUGCACAAGGGGCGGAAGCCUGAUGCAGCAACGCCGCGUGCGGGAUGACGGCCUUCGGGUUGUAAACCGCUUUCGCCUGUGACGAAGCGUGAGUGACGGUAAUGGGUAAAGAAGCACCGGCUAACUACGUG